Peromyscus eremicus (cactus mouse) is the source of this 615-nucleotide long non-coding RNA. RefSeq lists it as uncharacterized. NCBI's taxonomy places the organism in Eukaryota, Metazoa, Chordata, Mammalia, Rodentia, Cricetidae. The record is from RefSeq and is a predicted model, not a curated record. The transcript has 3 exons.
CAACUGUUCAAGUUUCCAUACCAGCAGUGGAAGAGUGUUCUCCUUACUCUACAUCCUUGACAGCAUGAGCUGUCAUUUGUUGUAUUGAUCUUAGCUACUCUACCUGGUGUUCAGCACUUUUUUUAUGUAGAAGUCUGAUUAUUUUGGAGUUCAGUUUUGUGCAAGGUGAUAUAUAUGUAUUUACUUGGAUUCAUCUACAUGCAGCCAUGGUGCCUGACCAACAACAUUUCUUGAAGAUGCUGUCCCUGUUUCAAGACUGCUGUGGUGUAUGUUCUCCCAAGACCAUCUUGCCCCAAUGAUGCUGAUUUCCCUCAAGAGCAUGGCUUUGGUGGCCACCACAGGCCUCCACUGAAGAUAUAUUUGCCCUGUCUGUGUAGGAGAAAGACUUUGUUGUGGGCUUUAACAAGACCAAUGACCUCUUUGGAAGUGAAAAAGCCUGGUUCCAGACCACACAGCCUGACUCACUAACCUAAUACAGUGUGUAUUGAAUUCAGCACAUCAAUGGCAAUGAUGCCCUACUGGGGAAGAGGUCGAGGCAUAAGGAAACUUGCCCCUUCCCUUUGUUUCCACAGUGUUUUUCUUCCAGUGUGAAAUAAAGAAAUGAGGCCUUCAUUA